Zasmidium cellare ATCC 36951 is the source of this 85-nucleotide non-coding RNA. NCBI's taxonomy places the organism in Eukaryota, Fungi, Ascomycota, Dothideomycetes, Mycosphaerellales, Mycosphaerellaceae. The record is from the annotation of a RefSeq genome assembly.
UCCUUUAUAGUCCAGUGGUCUAGGAUAUCAGGUUUUCAAUAGCGAAAGGCCCCUGAAGACCCGGGUUCAAAUCCCGGUAAAGGAA